RNAcentral lists this ribosomal RNA (250 nucleotides) under Gammaproteobacteria bacterium. RNAcentral describes it as "partial 23S ribosomal RNA". It matches the Rfam family "Bacterial large subunit ribosomal RNA", at positions 2680 to 2925 of the family's 2925-position model. The record is from RNAcentral. Lineage: Bacteria; Pseudomonadati; Pseudomonadota; Gammaproteobacteria.
AGUACGAGAGGACCGGAGUGGACGAACCUCUGGUGUUCCGGUUGUCACGCCAGUGGCAUUGCCGGGUAGCUAUGUUCGGAAGGGAUAACCGCUGAAAGCAUCUAAGCGGGAAGCCUCCCUCAAGAUGAGAUCUCACUAAAUCUUCGGAUUUCUGUAGGGUCCUCGUAGACUACGAGGUUGAUAGGCGGGAUGUGUAAGCGCUGCGAGGCGUUGAGCUAACCCGUACUAAUUGCCCGUGUGGCUUGACCAU